Molecule: ribosomal RNA, 253 nt
Filed under: uncultured bacterium
Lineage: Bacteria
Description: partial 16S ribosomal RNA
Rfam family: Bacterial small subunit ribosomal RNA
Source: RNAcentral
UACGGAGGGUGCAAGCGUUAUCCGGAUUCACUGGGCUUAAAGGGUGCGUAGGCGGGCUGGUAAGUCAGUGGUGAAAUCUCCAGGCUUAACUUGGAAACUGCCAUUGAUACUAUCAGUCUUGAAUACCGUGGAGGUCAGCGGAAUAUGUCAUGUAGCGGUGAAAUGCUUAGAUAUGACAUAGAACACCAAUUGCGAAGGCAGCUGGCUACACGAAUAUUGACACUGAUGCACGAAAGCGUGGGGAUCAAACAGG